Molecule: ribosomal RNA, 253 nt
Filed under: uncultured Oscillospiraceae bacterium
Lineage: Bacteria; Bacillati; Bacillota; Clostridia; Eubacteriales; Oscillospiraceae
Description: partial 16S ribosomal RNA
Rfam family: Bacterial small subunit ribosomal RNA
Source: RNAcentral
UACGGAGGAUGCGAGCGUUAUCCGGAUUUACUGGGUGUAAAGGGCGUGUAGGCGGGAAAGCAAGUCAGAUGUGAAAACCACGGGCUCAACCUGUGGCCUGCAUCUGAAACUGUUUUUCUUGAGUACUGGAGAGGCAGACGGAAUUCCUUGUGUAGCGGUGAAAUGCGUAGAUAUAAGGAGGAACACCAGCGGCGAAGGCGGCCUGCUGGACAUUAACUGACGCUGAGGCGCGAAAGCGUGGGGAGCAAACAGG